Molecule: long non-coding RNA, 390 nt
Filed under: Homo sapiens (human)
Lineage: Eukaryota; Metazoa; Chordata; Mammalia; Primates; Hominidae
Description: HSALNT0161434
Source: RNAcentral
GAGGUACUGAAAACUCUUCUUGCCUGGGUCAGCACAGACGCUCAGAGUUGUUGACUCUACCAAUGGUAUCAUCUUUCAAGCUGAAGCUGAGUAAUAGAUAUUUUGGCUGGGAUUUUUCUAGAGCCAUCCUAAACCUCGGUAGCACCUGGUGAACAAGGAGAUGAAAUUAACCCUCAUUAGGCUUUAUCAUAAAAAGAGCAUGUUUGGCUGCAAUAGGUCUUCCUAAUCUGGUUUUCAUUCCUCAGAAACCACACAUUGGCCUACCAUGAAUACUCUGCAUCAGGCAGCAGGAGGAAGUGUUUUUGUGAGCUGUAAUUGAAAGGCUAUUUAUACCCCACAUGCAAUUAUCAGCUCUCUGUUCCUAGCUCUUAAAGAUGCCUAGUUUGAAGA